UCCAUGAACCACAUAUUGCAGAAGAGGACUUCUUACAUGAUGCAGAUGCAGACGCAGAUGCUGAAAAAGAUGAAGAACAACAGCCGGCUGAUCGAAACGCUAUCCAGCAUUUGGAUACUAAUGAUGAGGAGGAAGAUGCAGAAUCCCAGGAACUGGAAGAUUCACCAGAACCUCAAGUUCGUAGAUCUUCAAGAGUUAGAAGAAAACCAACAUGGAUGAACACAGGCCAAUUUCUGGUAAAUCAACACGUAGCAGAAACAAGUUGGAGAGACAAAGCUGAAUUCCUUCUGAAAGUAACUAAAGAACCGGCUUUGAAAGACCAUCGUGAUAAACUUUUGGAUGGACUUUUAAAAGUUAUUGUGAAAUAGACUUUCAUAUUCUUUUAAACCAGCAAAAUGAUGGGACAUCAUUUUCAAGCAGGGGGGAGAGUGUAAUAGGGUGCAUUUUAUGAUAAUUACAUUCAUGCAUAUUAUUCAUAUUUCAUCAUCAUCAUCUUACAUUCCAUAUUUUACAUGUACAUAUUUAGAAACAGACUAAUAUCCCUAUAACUCCCUGUCUUUUAUGCAUCUAUCAAGUAAUCAUUACUUAAUUACCUUUUCUAGUGGUUUCUAAUAUUUUAUAGCCUUAAGUCAUUUCACCUGUAUGGUCACUUACAUACAUGUGGACAGGAUCAGGUGGUUUACUUAGCCAAUAGUAUGUUUUUAUGAUUUUUUCCCGCUUUAACUGAGUAGCCUUUGUGACAGACCAAGGCUAGUAUUCCUAGGAGUAAGACCUAAUUUCUUCAAGAGACGAUUUCACUUAUUUAUUUAUUUCAUCAACAUAUUUGAAGCAGUCAUUUAUAUUAGAGACUACCAUUGUCAGAGUAAUCUGCAGGAUUGUGCAUGAAACCUUUUUCCAUAAACAGGGUUUAAAUCCUUUAUCCGAAUAAAUGAAGAACCCUUAAAGUGGACUUGUUUAAUUCUUGGGACAACCCACUAUCACAUUUGGCGCCCACGUUGGGACCCGGGUAUUCUCUGGCGGGUGAGAGAGAUUGUUUCUAGAACUUUGCCCCACAGGCAUUGGCACUCCAGGAGAGUCGGGACGCCUCUUUCCUUGGAGGGGGACAAUGUGGUAGAGUCAGGUAUAUGGCAUUCCUACUAGCUCUGGCUAGCGGGUUAACCCUUUAGCUCGAUCGGUAGAGUGCUGGACUGGCGUGCCAGAGGACCUGGGUUCAAACCCCAGCAGAGGCAAAAACUGUCU
Magallana angulata is the source of this 1239-nucleotide long non-coding RNA. RefSeq lists it as uncharacterized. The transcript has 3 exons. NCBI's taxonomy places the organism in Eukaryota, Metazoa, Mollusca, Bivalvia, Ostreida, Ostreidae. The record is from RefSeq and is a predicted model, not a curated record.